GACGAACGCUGGCGGCGUGCCUAAUACAUGCAAGUCGAGCGGACGAUUCGAAAGCUUGCUUUUGAAUCGUUAGCGGCGGACGGGUGAGUAACACGUGGGCAACCUGCCCUGUAGACGGGGAUAACACCGAGAAAUCGGUGCUAAUACCGGAUAACACGAAAUGUCGCAUGACGUUUCGUUGAAAGGCGGCGCAAGCUGCCGCUACAGGAUGGGCCCGCGGCGCAUUAGCUAGUUGGUGAGGUAACGGCUCACCAAGGCGACGAUGCGUAGCCGACCUGAGAGGGUGAUCGGCCACACUGGGACUGAGACACGGCCCAGACUCCUACGGGAGGCAGCAGUAGGGAAUCUUCCGCAAUGGACGAAAGUCUGACGGAGCAACGCCGCGUGAGCGAAGAAGGCCUUCGGGUCGUAAAGCUCUGUUGUUAGGGGAGAACAAGUAACGUAGUAACUGACGUUACUAUGACGGUACCUAACGAGAAAGCCACGGCUAACUACGUG
Molecule: ribosomal RNA, 498 nt
Filed under: uncultured bacterium
Lineage: Bacteria
Description: partial 16S ribosomal RNA
Rfam family: Bacterial small subunit ribosomal RNA
Source: RNAcentral